UGCCAUGAAAUAUCAAGAACCUCAAACACAUUUGAACAAUUAUAUGAGAAUUAAACGCACAAAGAACGAAAGGCAAUAAUCAUUCAUUACAACAUUCGAGGUACUUAGCAACCACAGUAACUAAUGCACGAUAAUCUUUUCAGCAGAUAUGAUCACUUGACAUUAGGGCUGGCAAAUGAGCGAGCCGGCUCGCGUUCGACUCGAUAUUUGGCUCACUCGAGCUCGACUCGAAAUUAAAUGAGCCGAGCUUGAACAAAAAAAAAGGCUUGAAAUUCAUUUCAAGCCGAGCAUGAGUAUUACUCGGCUCGUUCGAAUUAGGCUCGAAAAGCUUGAAUAUAUAUAUAUAUAUAGUAGAGCUACUAUGCUAUCGAAAGUAUAGAGGGUCCGGUGCUUUCGAUUUUUUGAUUCUUAGAUCAACCUCUUUAAUCAAUUCUUAUUUUUGGAUUAAUAUUAUUAUAUUACCUUGUAGGGACCACUCAAUCCUAGGGAUAUUAUUUAAUCCUAGGGGGACCGCAAUCAUCCCAACCAUACAAUUCUUAAUCAAAGGGUUAAAAAUUCGAAAACAUCAAAUCCUCUCUAUAUAUAUAAUUAUUUAUUAAAAAAAUAUAUAUUUUAAUUAUAUAUACGCUGAGUGAAUAAUCUGAGUUUAGUUAAAAUUGGGCCAAUGUUGUUGGCCCAUAAAAACAAACUCAAUAGACAAAUAAAAGAACAAAAUUUCACUAAAUUUAUACAUUUUUCCUUUCUUUCUUUUUCUCACCGAGCUCUAAAUUUUUAAUAUAUUUCUCUCUUUCUCUUUUUCUGUCUUUCACCCUAAGUGGCCAAGCCAGAAGCCCUCCAAGUUCAAGUAACAGCAUAUGCCCGCCGUUGCCUACCUUACUAUUAAUUGUAUGCUUGAGAAAAUAUACAUAAUAUUUUUAAAGUAAAAAAUUAUUACUCAUAUAAAAUUUUAAUUUUAGUUAUAUAUGAUUGGAUAGUUUAAUCCAAUAUUUAUCUAUAUAAUUUAAUUAUUUUUGACUGCAUAAAUGAAAACUAAUAAUAUGGAGAUUGAAGGCGGAAGAAAAGACAUGUGAGGCUAAAAAGAUUAGAUAUUCAACUCAUUUUUUUUUUCAUAUUAUAAUACUAUAUUUCAUAUAAUUAUUUUGUACUUUGAACUAUUAGACAUAUUUUUGUAUCAAAUUAUAGAUAAUGUUCUAUACAAAUUAAACUAUUGAUCGUAUGAUGUUGAGAAUUUCAAGCGGCUCGUUUAGGGCUCGAGCUCGCUCGACUCGAAAUUAGGCUCGCUCAAGCUCGGCUCGAAUUAAUUUCAAUCCAAGCUUGAACUUAAAUUUAGGCUCGAAAUUAAUUUCAAGCCGAAUUUGAGCCGAGGUAAGCUCGCUCGAGCUCGGCUCGUUUCCACCCCUACUUGACAUACACAGUGGUCAUACAUUUUUAUGUUUUGAACGUAAUGAAUCCAGACAUUAGACAAAUAUAGGAAAUAAUUUCUGGUUCAUUGUAAUUUUAGUUGCUUGGAUGAUGGUAGUCCAAUGGUUAGCACUCAAAAAGAAGGUCUUUCUCAAAUACUUUGACAAAAUACGAUCAGCGCGAUGAGAGAAAGAUCAAGUAUUGAAUGGAACUUGAAAGAGAGUUUGUUGCACUUACAAUAGCAAGGAAUCCACAAAAAUCACCGGGCAUUUGGUCGAACUAAAGAUCAGAUCGUACCUAUAUAUAGGCUUAGAUCUCCGCAAUUCAGCUGUAAUCACAUUUUCUAAACUGCAUUUCGAUCAUAGCACAUCCAAUGCUGCUUUUUUUUCCCAAUUGAUAAUACAUUGCCUAAUUGGGCGUGAGAUUAUUGUGUCAUAUUACACUUCAAGGGUUAAGCAAGAAAUAUGCUUGACACUUCAAAUUUCUUCUUUUGUUUUGCCUAUUGGCCGUUUGUUCAUGCCAUCAUGAACUCUCAAUUAGUAGGUAAUACCGAUUCACACACACCCUGAAUCAGCAAUUAUUAACUCAUUUGUCUAAGCAUUUCUACAUCAAUAGAAAGUCACGAAUUUUGGGGAUCAUUCUUAGCUACAUAUGCUAAACUUGCUAUGUUUAGGCCAACUACUAAAAAUAGUUAAAUACAGAGGUUUAAAACAAACACAUUUCUUCCUUGUUUUAUCUUGAUUGGACACUGAGUUCCAAAGAAGUAGAUGUCACGAUGUCAACUGGUCAUAGAGGUUCCUCAAUGAUUAUGAAGAAUAUUGUGAGCUUUCAGCUGUAAUGAAGUUGACCCUGUAUUUUUGAUAAACAGUUCGGCACGAUGAUUUCUUCUAAUUGGACUCCUAAAUGCAUUAGAGUUUAGGGCGUGUUUGGUUCGCUCCUUUUUCACCAUGGAAUCGGAAUCGGAAUGGGUGACUCCGUUUGUGGGUGUUUGGGAUGCGGGAGUUUCAUUCCGAUUCCGAUUCCCGAGUGGAAUGGGAAUCCCCUAAACACCUCUUUUCCCAAUCCGGCCUAAGAGGCUGGAUUGGAAGUUGAAUCCGGACGGAAUGGGAAUUUAUUUGGAUUAAAUUAAAAUUUUCAGCUUUUUUAAUUAAAAUAUGAGUUUAAAUUUAGAAAUUAAAUUUAUAAUUUUAAAUUUUAAUUUUAAUUUGAAUUAAAAAUUAAAAUGUAAUCAAGAAUUUUGAAUCUAACUUAUAAUUUUGUAUUUAAGUUAAAUUUUAAUUUAUAUAAAGUUUUAUUCUAAUUUUAUUUAAAACUUAAGUUAAAUUUAUGGAUUCAAAUUAAAAUUUAAAUUGUAAUUUUAAGUUUGAAUUUGAAUAAAUUGAAGUUUAGUUUUAUAUUUUGAAUUAUCCACUCAACUUCAAAGUUUAAUUUUUUUUUAAAAGAAAUAGAUUUAAAACUUUGACAUUAUUUCAAAAUUUUGAUGUAAAUUUUUAAUAUUUAAUUUUCAGUUUGAAUUUAAAUUAAUAUAUUAUAAAGAUAAAGUUAGUAUAUUAAUUUGAUUAUGUUUUUUAUAUCUACCUGAACCAAACACCGAUAAUGGGAAUGAUUUAUUCCGAUUCCGAUUCAGAUAACGAACCAAAUAGAAUUAGGUAAUGAGUCAUUCCGAUUCCGAUUCCAGCUUAUUUCGAUUCCGAUUCUUAUUCCAAUUCUGACUUCAAACCAAACGCGCCCUUAAUGUAAUUCAACCCAAA
Molecule: long non-coding RNA, 3152 nt
Filed under: Ananas comosus (pineapple)
Lineage: Eukaryota; Viridiplantae; Streptophyta; Magnoliopsida; Poales; Bromeliaceae
Description: long non-coding RNA (ACOM_LNC012044)
Source: RNAcentral